GAAAUGCGAUAAUUAAUGUGAAUUGCAGAAUUCAGUGAAUCAUCGAGUCUUUGAACGCACAUUGCGCCCCCUGGUAUUCCGGGGGGCAUGCCUGUCCGAGCGUCAUUGCUGCCCUCAAGCACGGCUUGUGUGUUGGGCUUCCGUCCCUGGCAACGGGGACGGGCCCAAAAGGCAGUGGCGGCACCAUGUCUGGUCCUCGAGCGUAUGGGGCUUUGUCACCCGCUCCCGUAGGUCCAGCUGGCAGCUAGCCUCGCCACCAAUCUUUUUAACCAGGUUGACCUCGGAUCAGGUAGGGAUACCCGCUGAACUUAAGC
RNAcentral lists this unclassified non-coding RNA (314 nucleotides) under plant metagenome. Its description in RNAcentral is "partial contains 5.8S ribosomal RNA, internal transcribed spacer 2, and large subunit ribosomal RNA". The stretch from base 1 to 105 matches the Rfam family "5.8S ribosomal RNA", at positions 50 to 154 of the family's 154-position model. The record is from RNAcentral.